This is a long non-coding RNA of Homo sapiens (human), 2344 nucleotides long. RefSeq lists it as uncharacterized. NCBI's taxonomy places the organism in Eukaryota, Metazoa, Chordata, Mammalia, Primates, Hominidae. The transcript is spliced from 6 exons. The record is from RefSeq and is marked validated.
GCUUCUGACCCGGGCCGAGCCGGGAACUCAGCGCCAGCUCUGUUCCUGGCGGGGCUGAGGCUUCCCUCACAUUCCAGGCCACCUGGCAAACGUCCUGAGGCUGCCACUCCUUCUGGGCUCAAGGCUCACGGGCUGAGGUCUGUCCCCGCGUGGAGCUCAAGGCUCACGGGCUGAGUGCCUGAGAAGAAAACAGAACUGCCAGCAGACUAUGGGACAAACGACUAAAUGCCCUCCAGACGUUCCAGAGUCCUCUGCCUCUCAGGCUUCAGUUCUUCCUGAAGGAAUCUGGAGCUGGAAAGCAGGAAGCAAUUUGCUGUGGAAUUUUUUCCAUCACAGACUCCAAGUUCCUCAGCCUUUGGACUCUUGAACUUACACCAGUGUUUUGGCAGGAGCGCUCGGGCCUUUGGCCACAGACUGAAGGCUGCAUUGUCAGCUUCCCUACUUUUGAGGUUUUGGGACUCAGACUGAUCCACCACUGGCUUCCUUGCUCUUCAACUUGAAGACGGCCUAUCGUGAGACUUUACCUCGUGAUUAUCCUUGCCUGGAUUCUCCACCUCCUCAACCCCAGGAAGCAACAAGCUAUCAAAGACAGAAUUUGCACAACAGGACAAAGGAAGGCUAUAAGCUUCUUGAAGGCAGAGAUUAUAUCUCAUUCAAUCUUCUAUCUCAAGUAUCUACUGCAAAACCAAGCAAACGGCGAUCUGAGCACCUGAUGGCAGAACUGGAAGAGGUGAAAGAAAACCCCAGGGACACUCUGGACAUGUUCUGUAUUAUUUGGAUCCAGACUGGUCUGAAUUUAUCAAAAGAGAUUAACAUGAUAUAAACCAAGAGGGAAAUGAAGAAACGAAGCAUGUUCAUUUUGGAUUGAAGAAAAGUUUGUCAUUAUAAUGUAUCUUCAGAUUUGGUUGCCGUGCAGGGCAAUUUACUGUUCUUUUGAUCUUUUUCUCUGUUUAAAAAGACAUGGACUAGGCGAGGAAUGGAGCAGGUGAAGCACCGCUGACAUUAUUAGUGUGCGUGUGAACCUCUGAUAUGCUAAUAGGCAAAGUGGGUGGAAUGGAAUUGCUCUUAAAUAAGUAAAAAACUUAACAUUCAAUUACCUUUAAAAAUGGGCAUAAUUUGGAGGGUUUCAUUUAACACACUGCAGGUAAAAUCUAAUUUUGUUUUUCUAAACUUUCCUUUGCUAAUGCAAGGCAGGAGAGUUUUGUGUGUGUUUAAAUAGACCAAAGUCUCACUGGGGAGAGUCAGAGGUCUGGGAUUCUCAUAUUUUGGAGAUAGUAAUUUGAUUUUCCUAGGAUCCUUUUUUUUUUUUUUUUUUAGCAGAAAAAUGUGGUAACAGUGUCAUCCAGUCACAGCCAUGGAGACGACCCAGUAGGGAUUCAUAGAAUUUUGCAAAUGCUCCUCUGUCCCGUGAGAUGAAAUUCCUUUCCCAUCCAAAGUACCCACCCAAAGAGAAAACUAUCCUAGGACUUUUGCUUCUUCCAGAAAUUACUUCAGACAUCUCCCCCUUUCAGACUCUCUCUCUUUCCCCUGCUGUUUCAUUUCCUCUGGUUGUAGUAAUGUAGAAACCCUUUGUGUCGUGCAGGGGCUAAGAGCGUGCUCUCUGAAGCCACGCAGCCUCCCAGACAGUCUAGACACUGCUGUUGAUGAACUGUACCAUCUUGAUUAUUUCACUGAACCCCUUUGAGGUUUUCCUCACAUAGAAAAUGGGGAUAGUAAUAGUUCCUACUGCCUAGUGUUGUUUUGAAGAUUAAAUGAAACUGUGCAUGUAAAGUGGUAAGCACCAAAUGGUGUUAGCAGUUGUUAUUGUUGCUAUUAUUAUUACUAUUACUUUUAACUUGUAGGUGUUUGAGCCAAGCCCAGGGCCUCCUGCAUGUGCCAGCUUCAGUAGCUGCACCAGCAGUCCCCAUUGGGCACUGUGGCAGUGGUGGUGAUGGAGGAGGAGGUGGUGGUAAAGAGGGGAACAAGUGGAUUAAGCAGAGGGAGGUGAGGCAGGAGGAAGGCAUGAUGGGAGGGUAAUAUGGUUAGGCUUUGUAUCCCUACCCAAAUCUCAUCUUGAAUUGUAAUUCCCAGGUGGUUAGGGAGAGACUGGUGGGAAGUGAUUGGAUUAUGGGGGCAGUUUCCUACACGCUGUUCUCAUCUCGUGGUAGUGAGUGAGUUCUCGCUAGAUCUGAUGAUUUUAUAAGGGGCUCUUCCCGCUUCAAUCCUCAUACUCUCUCUCCUGCCGCCAUGUGAGGGAAGGUCUUAGCUUGCUUCUCCUUUGCCUUCUGCCAUGAUUGUAAAUUUCCUGAGGCCUCCGCAGCCAUGUGGAACUGUGAGUCAAUUAAACCUCUUUCCUUUAUAAAUU